Molecule: long non-coding RNA, 919 nt
Organism: Vicugna pacos (alpaca)
Lineage: Eukaryota; Metazoa; Chordata; Mammalia; Artiodactyla; Camelidae
Source: RefSeq, a predicted model, not a curated record
GGCGGGGAGAAGUUACGGCUCUAACGCCCCGUGUUUUAUACUCUGGGCCCAACGAGUUCAGAAUGGGCAUUUUCCACAUGAGGGCUGCUGCUUCUGCCUGGGUCCUUGAGUGAGAAGACCUGCCCAUGGCCUACUUAUGUGAGUCUCUUGCACAGUCUAGAUAUUUGCUACUCAAGAUGUGGCUCAUGACCAGCAGUACUGGCAUCACCUGGAGCCUGUAAGAAAUGCAGAAUGUCAGCCCCACGCCAGACCUAUGGAAUUAGGAUCCAUAGUUCAACAAGAUCCUCAGGUGUUUAUUCUUUUAUGUUUCAAAAUGUGCCUCCCUUGACCCGUUAUUUCAGGAUUUGGUAAACUCCUCCUGGGCAGGACCUGACUCUAGAAGAGCUUUUCAAUCCCCACCAGCGCCGCCCCCUCUGGUGCCCAUGUCAAGGGCUAGAGCAGAAGGUCAGGCGCAGUGAUUAACCAGCCACAGUUGAAAGCCCAGAAGAUACAACGAUCGACAUCCUGCAUCCUGCAUCUGAGGACUUUGCUCCAGACUAAGGUGUAAUCCAACCAUUUCCUUUUCAUAAGACAAGUAUUGUCUGAAGGGAUCUGUGUGUAAUUUUGAAGGGAAGGGCAAACGGAGCUGCAGAACUCAGUUACCACUUUGCCUUGGAUCUGAGCCUGUGAAAGGGGAAAAGAAGUGAACUCUUCCCUGAGAUGACUGAACAAUCACAGAGAAAGAGCUUUAAGAUUCAUAGUAGAAAGAGGCUGAUUGGAACCUUCCUUAGAGCAACUCCACUAUUCUGGUUUUACCCUAUUCCCACUCCUUGUCAUUCCCACCUGUAAUUCUGACUUGGCAGGAACCCCACACUGAAUGUUCUCAAAGUACUUUGUAGACUUUAAUUAGUUCUGUGGGAAGUAAGGCAAAACUCAGCCU